CACAGCCUUCACUGUACAGUCUUCACUCUUAAUGGAAACCCAGCAAAACUAUUGAUGGAUUAACACUGGACAUAUUGAAGCGAGUAAUGCGAAAUUGAAACUUACGCUUGGCCAUUUGAAUAAUGAGCCUGUUUACUCAGAAUGGCAGAGACAUAAAUUCAAGAUAAAAGCCAAGACAAUAAAACAUCUCAAGCCAUUUCAUUGUCUCACUGCAAUUUCUUUGACUACAUAUUAUUCUUAUUUGGUCAGGCUCUCUCAUUGUAUUACUUAUGCAAUCAAAAGCCGACAAAGUAAAUAGCCUGCAGCUGGUUAGCCAACACUGAUUUUCCAAUUCAAUGACAUUUAUUUGGGAGUUUGUGUAGUCAAACUUUCAUAGUCCAAUAAUCAUGGUGUGUGCAUAAUUUGUUGUCCUUUUAUGGCUCGGGGCAUAGAAAAGUAGUCAAUAAAUCAAGCAAAUUCAAUAUAGAGUAUGAAAAAAUAUUUAAUUUAAUCAAGUAUUUAAUGUAUACAAAUAUUAAAAAUAAUUUAUGUAA
Drosophila mojavensis is the source of this 533-nucleotide long non-coding RNA. RefSeq lists it as uncharacterized. NCBI's taxonomy places the organism in Eukaryota, Metazoa, Arthropoda, Insecta, Diptera, Drosophilidae. The transcript is spliced from 2 exons. The record is from RefSeq and is a predicted model, not a curated record.